AGUUCCCCCUGAGACUUAGAGUCUCCUGAAGGAACGUUGAAGACGACGACGUUGAUAGGCCGGGUGUGUAAGCGCAGCGAUGCGUUGAGCUAACCGGUACUAAUGAACCGUGAGGCUUAACCUUACAACGCCGAAG
This 136-nucleotide ribosomal RNA is filed under the name Salmonella enterica subsp. enterica serovar Schwarzengrund. RNAcentral describes it as "partial 23S ribosomal RNA". It matches the Rfam family "Bacterial large subunit ribosomal RNA", at positions 2791 to 2925 of the family's 2925-position model. The record is from RNAcentral. Lineage: Bacteria; Pseudomonadati; Pseudomonadota; Gammaproteobacteria; Enterobacterales; Enterobacteriaceae.